Molecule: long non-coding RNA, 2731 nt
Organism: Triticum aestivum (bread wheat)
Lineage: Eukaryota; Viridiplantae; Streptophyta; Magnoliopsida; Poales; Poaceae
Exons: 3
Source: RefSeq, a predicted model, not a curated record
AGCUAGCCCACUCUACGUCUCCACCCGUACUCGUGUAUUUUCUAAUCAGGUGCGAGCAGUUCACGUUCCUCUCUCCUCCCCUCCUCGCUGGCGAUUGCGGUUUGCAGAGGCGGCGGCAGCCAUGUCGAUGGCGCCGGAGGGACAAUCUUGAAGCAAGGGAUACCCCUCUCUCUCCUGCGUGGAUUACUCCCCCUUUCCCUCUUCAUGCGGUAGCGACCAGGAGGCGAGCUGGGCAGUGCAUCGAUCUGGUGCGAGCUCGGCGGCGGCGACGACCUUUUCCGAUGUCCCUCUCCAUCGUCAGCGGUCUUCUCAUUGGUAACACCUCCCUCUUCCUCUUCCAUUCCCUUUUCUCCAUGAAUUUCUUAAUUUUUAGGGUUAGGGUUCUAUAUUUUUGAGGAACAGGGUAAAUAAAGGGUAAAAAGACCAAGAAAUUAAGGAGAUGAAAGAGAAGAGAUGAGCUUGCAUACUGAAGGGGGUGAUGGAGAAAACCUUAGCUCGUCUGUGGGAUCAAAUCAAGGAGGUGGGGAUCACACAGGAGGAGAAGCCGCGGAGGAGGAACAACACCAGAGUAUCUUCUUAGAUCCAGCCAAAUGUGAUAGCUCUGUUUGUUGUCUAUCUUCUCUGUUUUAGAUGAACUGUUAUUCCUUAUUUCUUCUUUAGAGCUCCACUGCUACAAAAAAAGAACCAGUUCCGGCCAUUUUCACUUGGAAUGGAGUUGGGAUGCUGCUACUGUAUUUAGGAUGGUAUCCCAUCAUUCUGAAUCCGCUUCAGAACUGAACACUAGUGACGCUUCAGAACUUUCUGUAGGUGCAGACCUGAAGACUAGUGAGACACAGUAGCAACUAGCGAAAAUGACAAGUGCAGAAUUUUGUUUUCCUUUUACAAUUCAUCGUACAUUUUGUAGCUCUUUGUCACCUCUGUGAAACCACUGCAUACGCCUUCAGUACACUAACCUUUCUCAGGUUUGCUUCUCAUAUUUUUACAAUGUGCUUAAGGCAAAUGAUGAAUGGUUAAGCACCUAUUUAUUUCUAGUUUUGAUCUGUUGAUGCACACUGAACACAAGAAUAAAUCUGGACACGCUCCAAUUUUACGUUGAUGUAAACAAGCGAUGCAAUCUACGUUGCAUGCAAAUUUGGAAAAUGUAUUAGUUGGACAUGCUCCUAUUUUUUUUGUUGGCCCUAUAUCUCUUAUCUUUGUCUCUCAGAAUUCUUACAAACAGGAUUAGGGCCUCUCAGUGUAUUAGUUUAACUGUUGAGGGGUCCCAAUCCUGUUUCUAUUUUGGUUCGUCUUGUUUUAGCUCCUACUGACCUUGUUCAUGGAUAUAGCAACCAAGAAGCGCAAGAUGAUUUUGCAAGUUUUGGUUCAGUUGACACUUAAGUAUUUUUUGUUACAGAUUUGUAGCUCCUCUUUCUUUUAAUCUUCUUUCUGAAUAGUAACUCCACUGAUUAGUAGGAUCAAUAACAAACAUAAUAAAGUUGCCACACUUGCAUUCUUGGAAGAUCCAUUGAAGGAACAUGGCAAAUCUCACCAAUUGAUGUUUGUUUUAAAGAAAAAUAGCCCGACACCAUCACAUUUGCAUGGGCAUGUCUAGGUUUUUCCUCUCAAGGAAACGCACUCAUUCUCUUUUGAGUUUGAGUUUAACCUGUACUGUACUAUUUCCAUUAGCACUAUGCAUUUCAGUUUUGGACACUCUAAUGGCAACAUUAGGUAUGCUUAGCAAAACUAAUCAUUCUGGGAUCAACACAUCAUAUGAUGAUACAUGGGCUUUAGUUACCUCAUAGAACUUUGUACAUGUUUAUUGAUCCAAAAAAGAUGUCUUGUAAAACGUGAUCUUGAUGAUGGAAUUACCCUUUAUUCUACCUUCGCACGAUAUGUCCAUGUAUAUUUAGUGCGAUCUUUCACUAGAGAACAAUAGUAGUUGUUGUAAGUUUUUCCUAAAGUUUCUACCAAAAUCAUCAUGUUCGAGCCACUGGUUUCUGGAAACUGUAAUGGGGAAAACUCAUUUAUCAAUUUUAGAACCAGGAUUUUUGGGUUGCAUAUUUUGUAAUGUGUUCGAUUGUUUGGAACUAGUGGAAUAAAAUUGCAUAGCAAUAUUAAAUUUUACAUGUCCUGUGUUGCCUCGUUGACCUCUAGUUAGGUAGCAGUUCUAUGUUGGUAUUGAGCUGGUCAACAGAAAUUGGAUAGGUGUACUGCGGCAUCUACCACAACGCAAGCAUAGCUGCGACCUUGGUAUCUCCAGCUUGUAGUUUGGGUGCAUGCUAGGUGUUAAUCUUGCCAACAUGUUCUUCUACUGUUUCGUCAUUCUCAUGGAGGAACAAAUAUCCAAUGUCAAAAGGGAGAAUUCCCCUAGUGUGAAUCAACUUUAGGGCUAUUGUGUAUUUGCCUUAUGAAAGUCACUGCUUCAAUUUGCCUUGCAUUUUUUUGUAAGGAAAAUGGCAAAUAAGGAAUCUGCUAUAAUCAAGGAAGGAAGAAGCUGUUUGUAAGCGACUUGGAGACGAAGUAUCUGGAGACACUCAACAUGUGCCAGUUUUAGUUAUAUAGUACCAAUGCAUGGGAGAUAUACUAGUUGAUAGUCAUUACAUUGCACGAUUCUGUAGAAAACAGUUUUAUAUUGCAAACUUUUAUGGGCACACGAGGCCAUGUGAGAAGUUCUUAUGCCGUCUGAUUUUCGUCUUGCUGAUUAUUCUUAUUCCGUGUGAUUUUACAAUAAGCUAUAGUGAUGCAUAUUUCA